GAUGAACGCUGGCGGCGUGCCUAAUACAUGCAAGUCGAGCGAACAGAUGAGGCGCUUGCUCCUCUGACGUUAGCGGCGGACGGGUGAGUAACACGUGGAUAACCUACCUAUAAGACUGGGAUAACUUCGGGAAACCGGCGCUAAUACCGGAUAAUCUAUUGAACCGCAUGGUUCAAUAGUGAAAGACGGUUUUGCUGUCACUUAUAGAUGGAUCCGCGCCGCAUUGGCUGGUUGGUGAGGUAAAGGCCUACCAAGGCAACGAUGCGUAGCCGACCUGUGUGAGUGGUAGCCGACACUGGAGGUUGGCCGCCGUCCAUGCGCCUGCGGGAGGCACCAGUCUGCUAUGUGCCGCAAUGGGCGAAAGCCUUACGCAGCAACGCCGCGUGUGUUAUGACGGUCCUCGGAUCGUAAUACUCUCUUAUUGGUGAAGAACAAAUGUGGAAGGAACUAUGCACUUCUUGACGGUACCUAGUCAGAAAGCCACGGCUAACUACGUG
This 497-nucleotide ribosomal RNA is filed under the name uncultured bacterium. Its description in RNAcentral is "partial 16S ribosomal RNA". It matches the Rfam family "Bacterial small subunit ribosomal RNA", at positions 28 to 507 of the family's 1533-position model. The record is from RNAcentral.